Molecule: long non-coding RNA, 1490 nt
Filed under: Taeniopygia guttata (zebra finch)
Lineage: Eukaryota; Metazoa; Chordata; Aves; Passeriformes; Estrildidae
Description: lncRNA (ENSTGUG00000019898.1)
Source: RNAcentral
GCAACAAGAUUGAUUGAUUCCCCCCCUUGAUACCUCAGGACCAGAACCACUAACAGACGCUGUAGAGAAGCUCACUGUGCACAUUUUGAUCCACAUCAUGUACAUCAGUGUAGCACAUUCACAAACUAAGGGAUUAGGAUAUUGUUGAGCUGAAUGCCACCGAAAGCAUUUGCACUUACAAAAAAUAUAAUGAUCUAUGUUUAAUAAAGCAACCCAUGACUUGCAUAAACUGGGGCUGAAAAUUUAGGAUUGUGAAAUACUAGAAUAUCCUGAAUUGAAAGGGUCCCACACAAGGGUCAUCCAGUCCAACUCCUGGCCCUUCACAGCACUAUCCCCAAGAGUUACACCAUGUGCCUGAGAGUGUUGUCCAGAAGCUUCUUGAGCUCUGUCAGGUUUGGUGUUGUGACCACUUCCCUGGGGAGCGGCUCCAGUGCCCAGCCACCCUCUGAAUGAUGAACCUUUUUCUAAUAUCCAACCUAAACCUCCUCUGACACAACUUCAGGCCAUUCCCUAGGUUCCUGUCACUGUCAUCACAGAGAAGUGUCUGCCCCUCCUCUUCCCCUCAUGGGGAAGUUGUAACUGCAGUGAGGUCUCCCCUCAGUCUCUACUUCUCCAGGCUGACCAGACCAAGUGACCUCAGCCACUCCUCACAGCUUCCCCUGAAGGCCCUUUCCCAUCUUUGCUGCCCUCCUUUGGACAUUCUCUAAUAGUUUAAUGUCUUCCUUUUAUUGUGGUGCCCAAAACUGCCCCCAGGACAUGAGGUGAGGCCACCCCAGUGCAGAGCAGAGCUGGAGAAUCCCCUCCCUUGCCCAGGUGGUGAUGUUGUGCCUGAAGACCCCAGGACAGGGAUGUCCUUCCUGGCUGCCAGGGCACUGCUGACUAGGAGCCCACUGCCUGAAUUCAAACCUUUCUGUUCUUGAUCUGCUCAGCAGAGUGAAGAGUCACACUCUCUGUGUAAGAGGUGAAAAGCAUCUGUAGCACAUUGCAAGACUAUUCUGUCUGUACAGUUGGCUGUUUCCAAAGGAGAAAAAUCACCACAGCAAGUCUUGGGCUGCCUUUACCUCUACACACUUUGGGACUCUAAGCCUUGACAAAAGGAAGAAGAGCCUGAGGAAAAAGUUGAAGUAUCCCAUCAAGGCACUGGGAGCCACAACAUUCAAAGAAGUCCUGUGGUCCAUAGUGCUGGGAGCAGCUUCUGGUGUGGGUUGGAAAGAACAGUGGGAUGAACAGAGAGCAUGGCUGCUGACCAGGGAAGAGACUCCUGCCCUUUCUGAUUAAUUUUAACAUUCUGUUCCGAAUAUUAGAAAGUACAUUUGCAGCAGAUGUUUCAUGGGGAGAAACCUCUUUAAUCCCUUCCUCCAGGCUAAAUAGCUUUACAAAAUCCUCCCCAUGGCUUUGAAAACACAGUAAAAAUAACAGCUGAGCUACAGAUGAUAACUAAUCUUGCUGUAUGUGUUCGAUCACAAAAUGGAUGGCCAGUAAUAUGUCAC